GAGAACUCCAAUGGCGUCUGUGUCAGCACUCCCACACCAGGCCACAACAAUGGCCGCCGCCAAUGUCCCUGUCCCUGGAGAGGUCUCACCUCUCACCGAGAUGCACUCAGGGCCUAUCAGAGCCUCCAGAAAAGAAUGCAAUCCUGCUGACAUCUUGAUUUUAGCCCAAUGAGACCUGUGUUGGACGUCUAACCUACAGAACUGUAAGCUGGAGGUUUACUCCAUAAGGUAGAGGAUGGGAGACAUAACAAGGCAGACCCUGCUGAGAAGUUGUGGGGUGAAAAUCACGUUUCCUAGAAUCCUGGUA
Molecule: long non-coding RNA, 307 nt
Organism: Diceros bicornis minor
Lineage: Eukaryota; Metazoa; Chordata; Mammalia; Perissodactyla; Rhinocerotidae
Exons: 3
Source: RefSeq, a predicted model, not a curated record